ACACGUAUGGGGCAAGCGUUAUCCGGAUUCAUUGGGCGUAAAGCGCGUGUAGGCGGCUUGUUAAGUCAGAUGUGAAAACCGGGGGCUUAACCCGCGGCGUGCAUCUGAAACUGGCAGGCUUGAGUCUGGUAGAGGAAAGUGGAAUUCCUAGUGUAGCGGUGAAAUGCGCAGAUAUUAGGAGGAACACCAGUGGCGAAGGCGGCUUUCUGGGCCACGACUGACGCUGAGACGCGAAAGCUAGGGGAGCAAACAGGAUUAGAAACCCUAGUAGUCC
This 274-nucleotide ribosomal RNA is filed under the name uncultured bacterium. Its description in RNAcentral is "partial 16S ribosomal RNA". It matches the Rfam family "Bacterial small subunit ribosomal RNA", at positions 523 to 796 of the family's 1533-position model. The record is from RNAcentral.